GAGGUGUCCUUCCUCUUGGCUCUUUGGGAUGCAGAGAAAUCAGGAGUGACUUCACUGAGCAGGAUGAAGACAAGGAGACCAGAGCAGUAAAAACAAAAGGAAGAAGCAAUAUAGGGAG
Molecule: long non-coding RNA, 118 nt
Filed under: Fukomys damarensis (Damara mole-rat)
Lineage: Eukaryota; Metazoa; Chordata; Mammalia; Rodentia; Bathyergidae
Description: lncRNA (ENSFDAG00000028797.1)
Source: RNAcentral